GACGAACCGUGCGAACGUUGUUCGGAAUCACUGGGCUUAAAGGGCGCGUAGGCGGGCCAUCAAGUCAGGGGUGAAAUCCUCCAGCUCAACUGGAGAACUGCCUUUGAUACUGAUGGUCUCGAGUAAGGUAGGGGCAUGCGGAACUGAUGGUGGAGCGGUGAAAUGUGUUGAUAUCAUCAGGAACUCCGGUGGCGAAGGCGGCAUGCUGGACCUUCACUGACGCUGAGGCGCGAAAGCUAGGGGAGCGAACGGG
Molecule: ribosomal RNA, 253 nt
Filed under: uncultured bacterium
Lineage: Bacteria
Description: partial 16S ribosomal RNA
Rfam family: Bacterial small subunit ribosomal RNA
Source: RNAcentral